This 132-nucleotide small RNA is filed under the name Klebsiella pneumoniae. RNAcentral's name for it is "RtT sRNA". It matches the Rfam family "RtT RNA". Rfam says of the family: This family represents a bacterial cis-regulatory element known as RtT RNA. Lineage: Bacteria; Pseudomonadati; Pseudomonadota; Gammaproteobacteria; Enterobacterales; Enterobacteriaceae. The record is from RNAcentral.
UAUUCUGCCCCAUGGGGAAGGAUGAGAAGCUUCGACUAAGGUUCGACUCGAGCGAAGCGAGAGAACGUUGCCGCAGGCAAUGGCCCGAAGGGCGAGGCGCUUUAGCGCCGAGUAAUCCUUCCCCCACCACCA